Molecule: ribosomal RNA, 116 nt
Organism: Cavia aperea (Brazilian guinea pig)
Lineage: Eukaryota; Metazoa; Chordata; Mammalia; Rodentia; Caviidae
Source: Ensembl
GUCUAUGGCCACACCACCCUAAAUGCGCCUGAUCUUGUCUGAUUUCGGAAGCUAAGCAGGGUCGGGCCUGGUUAGUACUUGGAUGGGAGAAAUAUUGCUUAUAAGUGUUUUAUAUU